CCUUCUCUCAUAAAGCCUAGAACCCUCUUAGUGUACUUGAGUGUAUUUGGCUUUUCCUUCAACAUAAUCCAUGCAGAUGGGAAAGCCACAUUUUAGGGGCAUUGGAAAGAUAGGCACAUCUUACUGUGUAGUGCUCAAUGUGGAUAUUUGAUGCUCAGGGGCUUUUGGGGCCCCACAUCUGGAAAAUUCAACUGGAAAAUGUAUUAUGCAGAAAGGAAAGUCUCCUUCAAUCCCAUCCUCUGAGAGAGAAUCAUUCUUAAAAUAGGUGAUUUAUUCUGGUU
Molecule: long non-coding RNA, 281 nt
Organism: Prionailurus viverrinus (fishing cat)
Lineage: Eukaryota; Metazoa; Chordata; Mammalia; Carnivora; Felidae
Exons: 3
Source: RefSeq, a predicted model, not a curated record